Molecule: non-coding RNA, 641 nt
Organism: Pelobates cultripes (western spadefoot toad)
Lineage: Eukaryota; Metazoa; Chordata; Amphibia; Anura; Pelobatidae
Source: the annotation of a GenBank genome assembly
UAUAUCUAGGUAUACACCAUGGCGGUGUAGGUAGAAGCGGCGGCGGGGGAGGAGGAGGAAGUAGCCAACAUUGUCUUUUAUUUAUUUAUUUAUUUUAAUUGGGGUAGCCCCCAAAAUAUUGGGACAUGUAAAAAAAAGUACAAGUGCACUUGAGUAUAACAAUGGCUGGGUGAGGCCGGUAUAAAUGUCUAUUCUGCACAAGGUACAGACAAGUCUGGUGGGAUCCAUGCCUGGUUCAUUUUAAUAAACGUGAGCUUGUCCACAUUGGCCGUGGACAGGCAGCUGCGCUUGUCUGUUAUUACCUCGUGCCGAUCGCACGUCCCCAUGACGGCGACAAUGCAUUUGGAUGUCUGCCCUUUCGACUUUCGAUGCAAUUUUCCGCGCCUACCAUGGUGACCACGGGUAACGGGGAAUCAGGGUUUGAUUCCAGAGAGGGAGCCUGAGAAACGGCUACCACAUGCAAGGAAGGCAGCAGGCCCACUCCCAACGCGGGGAGGUAGUGAUGACAAAUAACAAUACACUACUCUUUCGAGGCCCUGUAAUUGUAAUGAGUCCACUUUAAAUCCUUUAACUUGGAUCAAUUGGAGGGCAAGUCUGGUGCAGAGCAACUGACCCGUGCGUGCUGCAGCUGAAACUCCAUU